Molecule: long non-coding RNA, 624 nt
Filed under: Phasianus colchicus (ring-necked pheasant)
Lineage: Eukaryota; Metazoa; Chordata; Aves; Galliformes; Phasianidae
Description: lncRNA (ENSPCLG00000008146.1)
Source: RNAcentral
AUGGCAGCAGGCGCUGCGGGCACGCGCCCAGCCCGGCACAGGUGCAGCGAGAGGCGCGAGCCGGGCCGCCCGUCCUCACCUCGGAUGGGGCUGCAGCCGAAGGGGGAACAUCUCCGCUUGGAGACCGCCUCCUUUUGGGGUUUCCAGCGAGCCCUGCUGCUCAGACAGGGAUUGACCUGUGGUGGACUCCACUGUGUUUACUGCCAAUUUGGGAUGAUGCAUUGCUGCACAGUGCUACCAAUAAAUGGGAGGUUUGAGGUAGCAGGAAAAGAACAGAAUGGUGCAAAACUAUACUCAGACUGCAGUGCUUACCAGUGUGUUUGCCAGGCAGAAGGAGGCUUAAUUCCUUCUCAUAAGAAUAACUGCACUGCGAUGGUGGAAAUGACUGUGAACUUCAGAAUUCGAGGAGGCUGUUCUAAAAAAGGCUGGGAAAAGUGUGAAAAUGCUCUAAAAGUACAGCUGGUCAUCCUAAGUACAAAUGAGAGAUCUACAAGGUGUUGUUCCACCAGAGGAAGAUCCUGUACUCUGCAGACCCACUAUAGACCUGACUGUAGCAGAAGGGGAGCAGCCUAUCUACUUACAGAUCAAUUCCAAAAGGGUUCUCUGAAGCGCUGGAACAUUUAA